Molecule: non-coding RNA, 693 nt
Organism: Parasteatoda tepidariorum (common house spider)
Lineage: Eukaryota; Metazoa; Arthropoda; Arachnida; Araneae; Theridiidae
Source: RefSeq, a predicted model, not a curated record
UUGGCGCAUCUAGGGAAUCACUCACCUUUCUGUUUCGUCUCCGUCUUGUUAUGACGUCAGUCACGUGACUGUCAUGGUUACGCGUCCCUGGCAUCAGCUGGGGUUUUUAGAGAUAAUUUCUUACUUUCUCAACAAAACUAAGUACCGUUCAAUCUUGAUAGGUACUUGGAAUUCAAUAAUGACACCCCAACACGCGAAAUCCUUUUUGUGUUUAUGAAAUCACUUUUCAUUUGAGCUCGAAACUACGCACACCUCUGUUGUUCUUUAGGAAUGUGCCAAGUUCGCUUGUUUGGGUGUUUCGCGCUUGUGUUAUUGAAUGGAAUCUUUAAGUGAUAUUGUAUCAAGGUGAUCAAAAGUUGUCAAAAUGUAUGAUAGAUUGUGCCUGUUAGUGUUUUUUGUUGGUAUUAUUCACUGUUCAUCAUCCCUUCAUUCCACUAAAUACACAGUGACAAAUGAAGCGUCAACUGUACCUUCCACCACUGAUCAUCCUAUCAAUAGAAAAUUAGAACAAUUUAAAAUGAUGGAAGAAUCUUCAUUGAAGGGCUGGUAUGACAUGGUGAACAAGUUUCUCUUAAUUAUAAAACCCAAUGAAAAAACAUUAGAUUAUGUUAUAGAUAUUGUUUCUGGAAAACAUACAUUAUCUCCACAAGAGACUGUUCUGAAGGUAAUUUUGAUUGUACCUAUUGUUUUUAU